AGUGAACCAAACAAUAUAGAUUUUCAUACAAAUGAUGUAUCUAUGUCACAUGAGCACAGUCCGGGAGGUGAGGCUAUAUCUAUCCUCAGUUUGCUGAUCUAUGAACAUCUGAAUUAUUAGUAACCUAACACU
Molecule: non-coding RNA, 132 nt
Organism: Mus musculus (house mouse)
Lineage: Eukaryota; Metazoa; Chordata; Mammalia; Rodentia; Muridae
Source: Rfam